ACCCAUGACUACGACGUCAAGCUGCGCAACGUCACGCGCUUCCUGGAAGCCGGAGACAAGGUAAAGGUCACCCUGCGCUUCCGCGGCCGCGAGAUGGCCCACCAGAACCUCGGACGGGACCUGCUGGAGCGGGUUGCCGAGGAUAUCAAGGAAUUGGGCAAGGUCGAGAACAUGCCCAAGAUGGAAGGCCGGCAGAUGGUCAUGAUGAUCGGCCCGCUUUCAAAGUGACAUGAACGACUCCGGCCGGCGCCAUGCUCCGCGCUACACGCGACAGGAUCAUGGGUCGGCCGGAGA
RNAcentral lists this unclassified non-coding RNA (294 nucleotides) under Tropicimonas isoalkanivorans. Its description in RNAcentral is "Long range pseudoknot". The record is from RNAcentral. Lineage: Bacteria; Pseudomonadati; Pseudomonadota; Alphaproteobacteria; Rhodobacterales; Roseobacteraceae.